This 245-nucleotide ribosomal RNA is filed under the name uncultured Blastocystis sp. RNAcentral describes it as "partial 18S ribosomal RNA". It matches the Rfam family "Eukaryotic small subunit ribosomal RNA", at positions 1463 to 1713 of the family's 1831-position model. The record is from RNAcentral. Lineage: Eukaryota; Bigyra; Opalinata; Blastocystidae.
UGUGAUGCCCUUAGAUGUCCUGGGCUGCACGCGCGCGACACUGAUUGAUUCAACAAGUGGCUGGGUCGAGAGACUUGGCAACUCUUUUGAAAAUCAAUCGUGAUGGGGAUUGAUGUUUGUAAUUAUCAUCAUGAACGAGGAAUUCCUAGUAAAUGCAAGUCAUCAACUUGCGUUGAUUACGUCCCUGCCCUUUGUACACACCGCCCGUCGCACCUACCGAUUGAAUGGUCCGAUGAACACUUUGG